GACGAACGCUGGCGGCGUGCUUAACACAUGCAAGUCGAACGGAAAGGCCCCUUUGGGGGUACUCGAGUGGCGAACGGGUGAGUAACACGUGAGUAACCUGCCCUUGACUUCGGGAUAACUUCAGGAAACUGGGGCUAAUACCGGAUAGGAAUCCUUGCUGCAUGGUGGGGGUUGGAAAGCUUCGGCGGUUUUGGAUGGACUCGCGGCCUAUCAGCUUGUUGGUGGGGUAGUGGCUUACCAAGGCUUUGACGGGUAGCCGGCCUGAGAGGGCGACCGGCCACAUUGGGACUGAGAUACGGCCCAGACUCCUACGGGAGGCAGCAGUGGGGAAUAUUGCUCAAUGGGCGGAAGCCGGAUGCAGCAACGCCGCGUGCGGGAUGACGGCCUUCGGGUUGUAAACCGCUUUCAGCAGGGGCGAAGCUUGUGGUGACGGUACCUGCAGAAGAAGCACCGGCUAACUACGUG
Molecule: ribosomal RNA, 465 nt
Filed under: uncultured bacterium
Lineage: Bacteria
Description: partial 16S ribosomal RNA
Rfam family: Bacterial small subunit ribosomal RNA
Source: RNAcentral